Molecule: long non-coding RNA, 4948 nt
Organism: Cryptomeria japonica (Japanese cedar)
Lineage: Eukaryota; Viridiplantae; Streptophyta; Pinopsida; Cupressales; Cupressaceae
Exons: 3
Source: RefSeq, a predicted model, not a curated record
UUAACGAAGAAAAUUUGUUUGAGAUCAAUCAGAAUGGCGUGCAAGUGCGGACGGGCUCACAGCGUCGUGUCUGUGUUGGUGUUAAUGGCCCUGGCGAUUGCUGCGGUCUCAUCAUCCACGGGAAAACAGAGUAGGAUCCUGUACUCCCAUCUAAAUCCCCACCCCGCUCCCGCUCCCGCUCCCCCAAAGGUUUCCUCUACUAAAUAUCCAAGAAUCUUGCCCCUCCUGGACUCCCAUCCCCAUCCCCAUCCCCAUCCCCAUCCCCUUUCCCAAAGGUUUCCUCCACUAAAUAUCCAAGAAUCUUGCCCCCUCAUGACCCGCUGGCGAUGAACGCUAGCGAAGCACUCAGAGAGGCGGGAUACCACAUCAUGGCCACGGCUUUCGAGCUGUUCGCUGCAGAAUUUAUUCCACUGGGCCCUGUAACGUUUUUUGCGAUUAGCGACCAGGCGCUGUUGAACUCCAGGCUACCUCCAUGGGUGAUGAUGAAACUGCUCCGUUACCACACGAUCACCGAAAUGCUCCUACGGGAUGACCUACACAUCCUGACAUCUGGCAUAUGCAUCCGUACUGUUCUUUCACACAAGAGUUUGAUCGUCACCCAUGAGCAGACAGAGAACAGCACGGUAGCUUUGAACAACGUAGAAAUCUCUGAUACCAAUAUCUUUGCGGCCGUCGGUCUGGCAAUUCACGGCGUGCAUCAGCCAUUUUAUUACCCCGGCCGCUCGCUCCUUUCCCUGCCGUUUUUUCCGACCUGCAUUUUCUCGGAAAGCGCCAGGGGCGUAUCGGUGCAGCGCCACCACAGGGGCGCCUGAAUGGAUGCCUGUCCUUCUACAUGGCCAUGAGUUUACAGGCCCGAUGAUUCAAGGAUCUGCAAUGGACAGAAGGAUGCAAUGGAUGUAAUUUGUAGAAUCCUCAUUCAAGUUGAAAUGAUUUAAAUUGGAUUUAGGUAAAAUUAGUGGCAUCAUUGUCAACUGCUAAUUUGUAGAAUCCUCAUUCAAGUUGAAAUGAUUUAAAUUGGAUUUAGGUAAAAUUAGUGGCAUCAUUGUCAACUGCUGCACAAGCUUUGAUCAUAAGAAGAGCAUUUUGAAUCUUGUUUAUUGUUAGUUCUUGCCCAUCGCAGGAUACUAUUGCAUUCAUGUAUGUCAUUUUUUUUAAUAGAACAACCAAUCAUUAUAAAGAAUUUAAAUUUUUUGAAAACAAUUCUAUAGUUUAUAAUUACUCUUUUAAUUUAAUAAAUUGAGAAAAUCUCAUUUAUCUUUCUUCUUAUUGGCUUAUGCUGGCAACAGUAAGUGUGAAAAUCAAAUUAUUAUUUAUUUUUUAAUAAAUAUUAAUUGGCAUGCACAGCAUCAAUUUACAUUAGUUGGCAUGCACGGCAUUUGCUGGCAAGCAUUUGCAAAUAUUAAAUGAAUGUUAAAUGUUGUCAUUGAAUGAAUGUUACGUGUGUUCUAUGUGUUCUGGAGUUGGUUUAGUCUAGUUUGUAUGUAGUGUUUGCCAAAAUUCAUGUGGGAGCCUAAAAAUCAUUUCAGAAAAUAGUGUGUGAGCUUGGAUAUACUUUGGAAGGAGUGUUUGUAGUUUUGUAGAUUGCAGAUACUGGCUGGCAAACAAGAGUGGAAACUGUAAGAUGCAUUGACAGUCAUCAAUGUUUCUUUGUCUUCUAUGUAUUUUUGUAUUUUUUUUUUGUUGUCUUUGAAAUCUAGUGUCUUUGUUAAAUCUUCAGAGCUCAUGGGUCAGGGCACUGUGUUGAGGAAUGUGAGAGCAAGGCCCGAGGUCUUUUGUCAACAUGUGAAUACUCCGUGUCGUUUUGAUUCUUCUACGAGGUUGCUCUGCCAUUCCUUAGCCCAGUGCCCUAAUUUGUGAGGUCUGAAAAAAGGAGAACAAAAAUCAGGAAAAGCAAAUUUUUUUGACAUUUUGUUACUCUUCUGUGCUUGGGACAUGAAAUUUGAUGUUUUUUGAGUGAUACAUACAGUUUGAUGUUUUCACUGCGCGUUAUUUUGUCAUGAUAAUGAUAUAGACUACAAUAUGUCUUCUUCUGGCAACACUGCUUGCAAACUAACCUUGCAAACUGUUCUUGUCUCACGCUUUUAUAAAAGUUUUCUCUAAGUCAAUCUAUUUGUUCCACUGACUUUAGCUUAUGUUUUCUUCGGCUUGGUAACUCUUGGGUGAGGUUAUGCUCUGGGUUUCUUUUGGUGUAAGCUUGGACCACAUUCCUAAGAUUUCUGUAUACGAGUCAACCCGUUGAAUGCAGACUGCAUUUACGGACUUUAUGGAUUUUGAACCUGAGUUGUGCUCCUACGAGUACCGUUUGCUACUACUAGACCACAAUUCUGCCGAGUUUAACCGAGCUUAUUGUUAUUAGCUUCAUGAACUGUAAUUAGGGUUAUGCUCUGGGUUUCUUUUGGUGUAAGCUUGGACCACAUUCCUAAGAUUUCUGUAUACGAGUCAACCCGUUGAAUGCAGACUGCAUUUACGGACUUUGUGGAUUUUGAACCUGAGUUGUGCUCCUACGAGUACCGUUUGCUACUACUAGACCACAAUUCUGCUGAGUUUCACCGAGCUUAUUGUUAUUAGCUUCAUGAACUGGAAUUAGGGUUGUGCUCUGGGUUUCUUUUGGUGUAAGCUUGGACCACAUUCCUAGGAUUUCUGUAUACGAGUCAACCCGUUGAAUGCAGACUGCAUUUACGGACUUUGUGGAUUUUGAACCUGAGUUUUGCUCCUACGAGUACCAUUUGCUACUACUAGACCACAAUUCUGCUUAGUUUAACCGAGCUUAUUGUUAUUAGCUUCAUGAACUGGAAUUAUUUGGAUAUUUGUGGGGGAUUUGAACCCGGGUUAUACCCUCGCAACUGUUACUUGUUAUCCCUAGACUGCAAACCCAUCGGAAUUUGUUUCAAGCUUGGUACCAUCUUGUGGGUAUCUGAAUCUGAGCUGUGCUUUAAUGAGCGUCGCUCGCCACAAUGCCUUGGAAUUCAAUUGGAGCUUACCGUUGACACCUUUUCUUUUUUUGAAACUUAGAAAUGAGUGGUGUAUUUGAAGCUCAGUUACACUCUUAUGACCGUUAUUUGUCAUAGCUCCACUACAACCUUCUGGAACUGAACUGAAGCUUUAUUAUCAGCUCCGUGGACCAAAAUCAAGAACUUUGUUGAAAACGAACUUGAAUUAUGCUCUCAGUAGUGUAGCGUGUCACUUGUUACAAGUACAACACUCCUUGCAAGCCCUUGGACUUUAGUUUGAGCUUAUUACCAGAUCUUUGGACGAAAAUUAAAAUUUGCCUGUUUGGGUUGUAGUGGGUCCACUUUACUUCCGAGUAUGGUCAUGAGAUCGAAACCUAAGGACACAAAGUUUGAACACUAUGUAAAGUAAGUGGAAAAUUCGGGUUUCCAUGAGUGGUUUUCACAUGUCAACUGGCACGUGGCUUUGACAGUGACGCAAAAAAUUGAAAUAACUGUGAAAUUACCUUUAAAUGCUCUUUCCAGCCUUUCAGAGAAACAGAUCACUCCUCUUUGUCAAUGGGCAGUAUGGCUUGACUGAAAUAUUUAUAUUUUUUUGUCGUGUUAAUAUUUUAUGUACUAUAUUUUUACUGCAAAUGACUUAAUCAUGAAUUCCCAGGUACAAUUGAAUGUCAAUAUCAUAUUUAGAUUUUAUCUUCUCCUUGGAAAAAUAAAAAAAAAAAAUAUGUUGAUGUUGUUGUCAUUCAUUUUCUUUCAGCUUCCUCUGGCUGUAGAUUAUACAUUUUCUUUCAGAUUCUCUAUAUGGAUGAACGGAAUGGCUUGCAUAUACUAGUUUAUGAAUCAAAACAACAUGAAAAUCAGAAGAUCCUAUGCAUAAUUGAACAUAAAUUUGAACUUAUUAUGAGCUCCUUGGACAGAAAGUUAAAUAUAUGCCCACGUUCUCAAAUGCUUUUUCCUGAGUUCUUAGUGCGAUAGGUGGCUCCUCUCUUUUAAUUAACAGAAUCUCUUGUUCGAUUUAUUUGUUUAAUUGUCUUUUUUUGUGAAUUGUGGUAGUACAUAAUAAUUGCAAAUGAAUUGAAAUUAAACUCUAUACCAAUUUGAAUAUUUAUUAGAUUAAAUUAUCAACUACCUGUACAAGAACUUAAAUAGAAUGCCUAUGUUGUUGUCAAUCAUUUGUUUCCUGCUUCUCUUGGCUACAGAUUGCUCCUCUCUGUUUAUGUGUGGUCUGUUUUACUGGAUUUACUCAAUUGUCCCAGUUUAAAGGGCUAUUUACUAGGUUAUGACUUCAAUGAAUUGAUAAAAAUGGAAUGCGAAACCUUUAGCAUAAUUGAACUUAAUAAAACCCUUGCAACAAUCCAUUGUCUUUCAAUUUUGUCAAAAGAAAUCAUAUUUCUUCAUACUGCACUGUUAAUCUGUAUGAACAACAAAACAACGUUUUGGGUUUAAGCAAUUGUGAGCAAUAUAUAGAGAUUUGCGCGCUCUAUUCAAUUAGUUGCCCACAGCAAGGAGCAGCACAAAUUACUUCUUUCAGCAACCAACUGAUGUUCCUAAUCUUCCAGUAUCUAUACAAAAAGAACUUCAAGCAUACUAUACGCAACCCAGGAAUGUCUGAAGAAUAUGGUUCACAUGAUUCAUGCUUGAGCAUCUGACCAAACUGAGUUUUCUGAACCAUUGUUCAUCCGACAAAAUCUGGAAAUCAACAGCGAACAGGUGGAUCCAUCAGCUCAAGCAACUGAAUCAUCAUACAACUACGGCUGGACUCAGGGCUAGGUUUCCCUUUGUUUUUGUUUUAUGGAUUUUUGCAAUGUUUGAUUGCAAGGAAUUUGCCAAUGGAAAUUGUAAGUUCUUGUCAUUUAUCAAGUAACCUUGUUGUCGUUCUCUUUUCAAAAUCAAAGCAAUAUUGCUCUCAAUUUCAUUAUAAUACCACAAACAAACAAUAUUCCAUGUCUUGCAAAUGCAUGCUGAAAUUAUUCAGAACUUCUUUGAACCUAAAUUGUUUC